GGCUAGCGUUGCUCGGAAUCACUGGGCGUAAAGCGCGCGUAGGCGGAUCGUUAAGUCGGGGGCGAAAUCCUGGAGCUCAACUCCAGAACUGCCUUUGAUACUGGCGAUCUUGAGUCCGGGAGAGGUGAGUGGAACUCCGAGUGUAGAGGUGAAAUUCGUAGAUAUUCGGAAGAACACCAGUGGCGAAGGCGGCUCACUGGCCCGGUACUGACGCUGAGGUGCGAAAGCGUGGGGAGCAAACAGG
RNAcentral lists this ribosomal RNA (244 nucleotides) under uncultured bacterium. Its description in RNAcentral is "partial 16S ribosomal RNA". It matches the Rfam family "Bacterial small subunit ribosomal RNA", at positions 533 to 776 of the family's 1533-position model. The record is from RNAcentral.